Molecule: ribosomal RNA, 253 nt
Filed under: uncultured bacterium
Lineage: Bacteria
Description: partial 16S ribosomal RNA
Rfam family: Bacterial small subunit ribosomal RNA
Source: RNAcentral
UACAGAGGCCCCGAGCGUUGUUCGGAUUCAUUGGGCGUAAAGGGUGCGUAGGCGGCUGGGUAAGUUUGAUGUGAAAUCCUGGGGCUCAACCCUGGAACUGCAUUGAAUACUGCUCGGCUAGAGUACUGGAGAGGAAACUGGAAUUCACGGUGUAGCAGUGAAAUGCGUAGAUAUCGUGAGGAAGACCAGUGGCGAAGGCGAGUUUCUGGACAGUUACUGACGCUGAGGCACGAAGGCCAGGGGAGCAAACGGG